This 484-nucleotide ribosomal RNA is filed under the name uncultured bacterium. RNAcentral describes it as "bacterial SSU rRNA". It matches the Rfam family "Bacterial small subunit ribosomal RNA", at positions 28 to 505 of the family's 1533-position model. The record is from RNAcentral.
GAUGAACGCUAGCGGCAGGCUUAACACAUGCAAGUCGAGGGGCAGCGUGGAGCAGCAAUGCUCUGACGGCGACCGGCGGAAGGGUGCGUAACACGUGAGCGACUUGCCCGUCACAGGGGGAUAACCGGCGGAAACGGCGACUAAUACCCCAUACGAUGUGAUGCUGCAUGGCAUUGCAUUGAAAGAUUCAUCGGUGGCGGAUAGGCUCGCGGGACAUUAGCUAGACGGCGGGGCAACGGCCCACCGUGGCGACGAUGUCUAGGGGUUCUGAGAGGAAGGCCCCCCCACACUGGGACUGAGACACGGCCCAGACUCCUACGGGAGGCAGCAGUGAGGAAUAUUGGUCAAUGGGCGGAAGCCUGAACCAGCCAUGCCGCGUGAAGGACUAAGGCCCUACGGGUCGUAAACUUCUUUAGACGCAGAGCAAUAAGGUCCACGCGUGGACCGAUGAGAGUAUGCGUAGAAUAAGCAUCGGCUAACUCCG